This 1039-nucleotide long non-coding RNA is filed under the name Piliocolobus tephrosceles (Ugandan red Colobus). RNAcentral's name for it is "lncRNA (ENSPTEG00000008617.1)". The record is from RNAcentral. Lineage: Eukaryota; Metazoa; Chordata; Mammalia; Primates; Cercopithecidae.
AUAAUUAGUUUUUUAUGUGUUUUUUAUGCAUAUACUGUUUCUUUAAAAUCAAAUGUAUAUGUUCACAUGUUUGUACACUGAAUAAAUAUUGGCCAUAUGCUUAUAUAUUAUAUAUAUAACAUUCCUUUUAUACCUAAUAACUAAAAAUUAGUUUACGCACUUAAAUGUGUUAUAUUUAUGCAUAGGAUGUGUGUAGGAGUAUUAAAUGCAUUUUAUGCAUAAUGUUAUUAGAAUAGCUUAGAUUCAAUUCGUUACAAAAACAAAUAGAAUUAUGCGAAAAUGAAAAUGAUUAUAAUAUUAUAAAAAAAAAAAUAGAAGAUUAUAUUGAUACUUUAAGUCAAACCAAUAAAUUGUUGUGUCAAAAUUCACCUGUUGAUAGAAAUUUAAAAGAAAAUAGAGAUAAAAUAAUAGAAGAUGGUUCAAUGCUUUUAAAAAUUUUUAGGCAAAUUAAAAAACUCAACUUUUCAGCUGUUUUGAGUGAAUUGAAUAAAUUUAAAGAAGAAAACAGUUUACUUAUGAAUUUGAAGCAAAAUGUUUAUCACAAAAAACAAAUAAUUAACAUUUUAAAUGAACAAAUAAAAGAGCAAAUUGAGAACACAGAAAAUAAAAAAAAAAUUAUUGAAGAUAAGAUAAAAGAAAUUGAAAAAAAAAAAAAAAUAUUUUUUAUAAAGUUUAUGAUUUAUUAUAUAUAUAAAGAAGAAUAUGUUCAUGCCAAUAUAACCAAUUAUGAACUGACUAGCAAUUACAAAUAUGAUUCAGUUAAAAAUGCAAAAGAAAAAAUGGAAGAAGAGCUAAAAAGUUAUAAUAGUAUUAAUGAUUAUAUUAAACUCUUUUUAAAUAAAAGAAACGACCGUUUGCAAAGUAUGUAUGACACAUUACUUGAUUAUUACGAAAAAGAAAAGUUCCAAAAGAAUCAAAAUUUAGGAGCAAUAAAAAAAAGCUAAAUAGUUUUGUUAAAGAAAUCGAAGAGAAAAGGAAAAUAAUAGCAAAUUAUGAAGAGGAUAAUAAAUUAAGAGAGGAGCAAGAGAAAGAAAAUAUU